GACGAACGCUGGCGGCGUGCUUAACACAUGCAAGUCGAACGGUAAGGCCCUUCGGGGUACACGUGUGGCGCACGGGUGAGUAACACGUGGGUGAUCUGCCCUGCACUUCGGGAUAAGCCUGGGAAACUGGGCCUAAUACCGGAUAGGACCACUGCCUGCAUGGGUGGUGGUGGUCGGCUUUUGCGGUGUGGGAUGGGCCCGCGGCCUAUCAGCUUGCUGGUGGGGUGAUGGCCUACCAAGGCGACGACGGGGAGCCGGCCUGAGAGGGUGACCGGCCACACUGGGACUGAGAUACGGCCCAGACUCCUACGGGAGGCAGCAGUGGGGAAUAUUGCACAAUGGGCGCAAGCCUGAUGCAGCGACGCCGCGUGAGGGAUGACGGCCUUCGGGUUGUAAACCUCUUUCAGCACCGACGAAGCGCAAGUGACGGUAGGUGCAGAAGAAGGACCGGCCAACUACGUGCCAGCAGCCGCGGUAA
RNAcentral lists this ribosomal RNA (478 nucleotides) under uncultured bacterium. RNAcentral's name for it is "partial 16S ribosomal RNA". It matches the Rfam family "Bacterial small subunit ribosomal RNA", at positions 28 to 523 of the family's 1533-position model. The record is from RNAcentral.